This 786-nucleotide ribosomal RNA is filed under the name uncultured Neocallimastigales. RNAcentral's name for it is "partial large subunit ribosomal RNA". It matches the Rfam family "Eukaryotic large subunit ribosomal RNA", at positions 26 to 628 of the family's 3401-position model. The record is from RNAcentral. Lineage: Eukaryota; Fungi; Neocallimastigomycota; Neocallimastigomycetes; Neocallimastigales.
CGUCUAUAUACGUAUAGCAUAUCAAUAAGCGGAGGAAAAGAAACUAACUAGGAUUCCCUCAGUAACGGCGAGUGAAGCGGGAAAGAGCUCAAAUUUGAAAUCUUCAAGGUUCUACCUUGACGAAUUGUAGUUUAAAGGAAGUGUUUUCUGUUGGAAGUUUUGGUAAAAGUUCUUUGGAAAUAGGACAUCAAUAGAGGGUGAGAAUCCCGUAUUUGACCAUUAUCUUCCAACUGUGUGAUACACUUUCAAAGAGUCGGAUUGUUUGGGAAUGCAGUCCAAAAUGGGUGGUAAAUUUCAUCUAAAGCUAAAUACUUGGCGAGAGACCGAUAGCGAACAAGUACCGUGAGGGAAAGAUGAAAAGAACUUUGAAAAGAGAGUUAAACAGUACGUGAAAUUGUCAAAAGGGAAGCGUUUGACACCAGUGUUGUUUUCUCGAAAAUCAAUUAAAAAUGGCUGGGAUUUUGUGUUGUAUUGACUUUAUCAGCUUUCUGCACUUUUUUCCUAUCUUUUUUAAUGCACUUUUCGUUUAACAAGUCAACAUCAAUUUCUUUUGUUGUAAAAGAGGUCAUUGGAAGGUGGCUUUCUUUUCGGAGAAAGUGUUUAUAGCCUUUGACUUCUGCAAUCGGAGAGAUUGAGGUCUGCAGCGUAGAUCCUUCGGGGUUAGAUACAGUUAGAUGCUAAGUUAUAGCCUUUUCAUAGACAACUUGUUGACUAUGAUCAGUCAUGUAGCUUACUCGCUUAUGUCAUUUUACCUACGCUUAGGAUGUUGACGAUCAGCUGAGCGCG